This is a non-coding RNA of Leptonychotes weddellii (Weddell seal), 1704 nucleotides long. NCBI's taxonomy places the organism in Eukaryota, Metazoa, Chordata, Mammalia, Carnivora, Phocidae. The record is from RefSeq and is a predicted model, not a curated record.
GAGACCGGCCCGGGGUCUCGAAGCCGUCCCAGAUGGAGAAGGGACCCCGGGGUACACGGCAGGACAUGCGGCCAGCAAGCGGGUGAGUCAGGCGGCCCUCCCACGAGCUCACCCCGUCCCCGUCCCCGUUCCUCUCACACUCGGUAAAGGGCCACUGCACGGGUGUAGAAAGAAAAACUCUGUGCGUUUUGCCUUUCUUCCCCAAACUGCCCACGUCUGGCAAAAUGAGGUGCCUCCGAAUGCCAGCCACGAAAACCGAGGUCCCACACGGGCCGACGAACCACAGGUCUCUUCCGAGGUCCCCAGGGGCCUGCGGCGCGCGGUCCCCGUGCAGAGGCUAAGCCGGAGGGGGAGAGCGCGGGCUGCCGGUUGACGGACCACCACCAGGCUGCAGGCCGUGGAGGCCGGGGCCUGAGGGGCCGGGCUCCUCUCACCCAGGGAGGACACCUGCACGAAAUCACAGUAACUUGGCUGGUUGGGUGACUUGCUUUUGUUCCCUGAACCUCACCUCAUGCACCUGUCCAGUGGCAGACCAAACGGACUGGCCCUCACAGGACUGGCCUUGCUACGGCGGAUGCAUCAGUGCAGCAGAGACCAGAGUCUUGUCCGUGUUUGUGUAACUGGAAAGGCAGGAACGGUUUCUGAGCGUCUGAGUCCAGGCCUUCCAUGGAGUUUAGAGCUGUACCCGGCGGGUCCGGCUGCGAUUGGCCACGUGGAGAACGAGGCUCACAGGCUUCGUCCCUGACGGGCAGCUUUCACUUACUACCAGGCAAUACUGGUGUUGACAAAUUAUCAAUUAUACACAUCAUGUAUCUUCUAUAUAUGCCAUAAAUAUGUAUUCUAUGUUUGUUGGUAUUACCUAUGAACAAGGACUUUGCCCCGCGGUGUUCGAGCGCCCAGCAGCCGGAGGGGACUGCUCUCCUCGCCGCGCUGAGCCGCGGUCCUGGGAAUGGACAGACCGGUACCAACGACCCAACACCGGGAGGAAGUUCAAGUAUUCUUUAUUCAAAGUUGAAAAAUGUACCAUACUGCAUUAUUGCAAAAAUUCACUGGUACAAAACACUCUGCAGCUGUACUCGAGGUUCCUGAAGCUAAGGCAGCUGUUCCAGAAAGGAGGAGGGGAAGGAGGAGGUAGCAGACGUCAAGGGAUUUCCAUUUCUCUUUCGAUGCCCACGUACUUGAGGGCGUCAGCCUGGCUGUAUCUGAAACGGCACGAGAAAGGCAUGAGCCGGCGUCCAGCCCAGACUACCCUGCCAGCCUGACGCUUGUGAGGUCCAGGGGGGCCGCGUGUCCUCAGCACCCUGACAGCAAGCACGACUUCCCACAGGAAGGACCCAGACGCCGACCAGGUAGGGUAUGAGCCAGCCAUGUCUUGGCCGUGAAAGUACUGAACGGUCAGGCUGUAGGAAGUACUUAAGCAGUUAAAGAAUACACUGCUGCCCGAAGCCCAGUACGGCCUGAAAUCCGCGAGCUCGCUGCGGAGCCGGACGGGAACGCCGUCACCAGCGGGCUCAAACGCGGGCUGCCCGCGUUCCUUCCCCACACGGGCAGACCGCAUGGUGUUGCCUCACAAAUACAUCCCCACCGACCCACCCACCGAGGGUUUGCGGCAGCCCUGCCUCCAGCGAGUCUGCUGGUGCCAUUUUUCCAACGGCAUUUGCCCACUUUGUGUUUCUAGGUGAGAUUUUGGUAAUUCUCACAGUA